GUCUACAGCCAUACCACCCUGAACGUGCCUGAUCUCGUCUGAUCUCGGAAGCUAAGCAGGGUCGGCCUGGUUAGUACUUGGAUGGGAGAAGGCAACAAUAAGUCUUUUCACCCUCCUUGCAGUCACAUUUUGUAAAUA
Propithecus coquereli (Coquerel's sifaka) is the source of this 138-nucleotide ribosomal RNA. NCBI's taxonomy places the organism in Eukaryota, Metazoa, Chordata, Mammalia, Primates, Indriidae. The record is from Ensembl.